UACGGAGGGUGCGAGCGUUGUUCGGAAUUAUUGGGCGUAAAGAGCGUGUAGGCGGCCUUGUAAGUCAGAUGUGAAAGCCCUUGGCUUAACCAAGGAAGUGCAUUUGAAACUGCUUGGCUUGAGUACGGGAGGGGAAAGCGGAAUUCCCGGUGUAGAGGUGAAAUUCGUAGAUAUCGGGAGGAACACCGGUGGCGAAGGCGGCUUUCUGGACCGAUACUGACGCUGAGACGCGACAGCGUGGGGAGCAAACAGG
This 253-nucleotide ribosomal RNA is filed under the name uncultured bacterium. Its description in RNAcentral is "partial 16S ribosomal RNA". It matches the Rfam family "Bacterial small subunit ribosomal RNA", at positions 524 to 776 of the family's 1533-position model. The record is from RNAcentral.